CACGGGAGUAGCUGCUCUGUGCUGGUUGCUCAGUGCAAUAGAAAGAGCUUUCCUUUGCUCCCACCCGAGGAGAGCCGCAUUCUUCCACUCUGAGCUCCUCCGAAAGUGAAGCAGAGAGACUGAGAGAGGGUGGGCGGAUUUGUGAAGAAGCAGUAGAGGAAGAAGAUGAUGAUGAAGCUCCCGGGAGGAUCUUUAGAGGGGAGCAGAGAGACAUAGUGUGUAAAGUUGGAAUGGUGGCGGAAAAGUGUGAGUGAAGAUAUGGGGAAUAGGAGCAAGAGCAGCAAUGGGAAGUUGUUGGCAGUUUUACACACUUUUCUAAAGAUGAGUUCGUGUCUGGCACCGUGCCAAGUUACCAAUGGCAGC
This is a non-coding RNA of Caenorhabditis elegans, 363 nucleotides long. The record is from Ensembl. Lineage: Eukaryota; Metazoa; Nematoda; Chromadorea; Rhabditida; Rhabditidae.